This is a long non-coding RNA of Cavia porcellus (domestic guinea pig), 1335 nucleotides long. RefSeq lists it as uncharacterized. Lineage: Eukaryota; Metazoa; Chordata; Mammalia; Rodentia; Caviidae. The transcript is spliced from 2 exons. The record is from RefSeq and is a predicted model, not a curated record.
UGCACCCCCCCCUCCCCCACAACGCCUGCACCGGGCCCGGCGAGCCCUAAAUCAGUCGCCUCCAAAGCGCCCACAAACUACAAACGCAAAGUCCGCUGCAAAGUGUCUGCAGGAGGACUUAGCUUUUCUCCUCCAGCACCUAAGCCCCCUGCUGGUGUGGAGGUCGCGCAAUCCUUUGUCCUGCAAACCGAGUGCUCACCCGGUUUGAACCCUUCCCUCCCUGGAUUCCUGCCCUACGCCCCCCCCAACUCGUGCUUUUCUGGGAGCACCGAAGAGUGUGGUCCUGGGGUCACGACCCGCAGGACUUCUAGGUCCUGGCGGGGCCGGCAAGCGGCCGCUGGAGCGGUGGCAGCCCGUUUGGCACCACGAGGACUCUGGGGCCGGGCUGUGGGCACUUCUGAUCCUUGAGUGCAGGAGUGACCAGCAAAAAAAAGACAGGUGACCAGCAACAGUCAGUCACUUCUAGACCUCUCAGCUUCUUCAUGCUUAGUGUGCUUGGGAUAGUGCUGCGAUGGCCGGAGUCCCAGCAGCUGUUCUGGAGCAGGGGUUACCUAAGGACCCGAACCGUCCAUGACAGCAGCUUGAGGACCGCAGGAGAGCCGGCUGGCCGCGGGCACCGCAGGCUGGUCCUCGCCUGGCUUCUCGUACGCCCUGGAGAGGAGAGCUCCUAUUCCACCGCUUUGUAAAUGCAAGUUUGUCUGAGUCUCAUCUAGAUGGCUGGUCGGCAUUUCCAGAGGUUAAAACACAGAAUGAAGCUUGCUGUGGGGUGCUCAUGGAUACCUCAACACUCCAGAGAUGAUUACUUAAUCCAGCUGGGUGGCUGGCUGUGUGUCUCUGUCUCUGUCUAUCUGUCUGUCUCCCUCUGGCUUCCCUGGAGGGCCAGUUUGGGUGAAGGACACCCGACCUCUGGGCUGCAGGGUGUUAGUUUUGGGGUGAACUAUGAAGAUCACCCCCACGGUGGCGCUUUUUGCAGAAACCCGUCCUGUCCGGCACCCUGAGACCCGGGUGGCUCCGGGGAGACCCUCCUGCCUCUGCCUCCUCCCCGCUGACACCCCUAAAAGUCGUCCCCGCUCGGGGUGCCGGGAAGGAGGCGGGUUCUGCCCAGAAAACACUCUGCCGCGUCCCGUGACCAGCUCUGGCCCCACUUGAAGGAUCACGAGACAGACAGACGUGGACGCUUCCCUGCGGGGAACUUCAUCCCGAACCGCUGCGGGGCGGGCUCACGCGGCCUGGAAUCUGCCGACCUCUGAAAAGUUGGAAAAGCAUUUUUCGUCCUGAUUUAGAGCACAUUGCUACGUUUUGGAAAAUGCCAAAUUAAAAACAUCAGGUCUCAAA